UACGUAGGGGGCAAGCGUUGUCCGGAUUUAUUGGGCGUAAAGAGCGUGUAGGCGGUCUGGUAGGUCCGUUGUGAAAACUCGAGGCUCAACCUCGAGACGUCGGUUGAAACCGUUUGGCUAGAGUCCGGAAGAGGAGAGUGGAAUUCCCGGUGUAGCGGUGAAAUGCGCAGAUAUCGGGAAGAACACCCGUGGCGAAGGCGGCUCUCUGGGACGGUACUGACGCUGAGACGCGAAAGCGUGGGGAGCGAACAGG
RNAcentral lists this ribosomal RNA (253 nucleotides) under uncultured bacterium. RNAcentral describes it as "partial 16S ribosomal RNA". It matches the Rfam family "Bacterial small subunit ribosomal RNA", at positions 524 to 776 of the family's 1533-position model. The record is from RNAcentral.